This 203-nucleotide ribosomal RNA is filed under the name Clostridioides difficile. Its description in RNAcentral is "partial 23S ribosomal RNA". It matches the Rfam family "Bacterial large subunit ribosomal RNA", at positions 682 to 884 of the family's 2925-position model. Lineage: Bacteria; Bacillati; Bacillota; Clostridia; Peptostreptococcales; Peptostreptococcaceae. The record is from RNAcentral.
UUUUAACUGAGCGUUCAGUUACUUGACGUAGACACGAAACCGGGCGACCUACCCAUGAGCAGGAUGAAGCGAAAGUAAAAUUUCGUGGAGGUCCGAACCCACGAGCGUUGAAAAGCUCGGGGAUGACUUGUGGGUAGCGGUGAAAUUCCAAUCGAGCCCGGAGAUAGCUGGUUCUCCCCGAAAUAGCUUUAGGGCUAGCCUCA